GACGAACGCUGGCGGCGUGCUUAACACAUGCAAGUCGAACGGCAAGGCCCUGCUUUUGUGGGGUGCUCGAGUGGCGAACGGGUGCGUAACACGUGAGCAACCUGCUCUUGAUUUUGGGAUAACUUCAGGUAACUGGGGCUAAUAUCGGAUAGGAGCUCCUGUUCCAUGGAGGGGGUUGGAAAGUCUCGGCGGUUGGGGUUGGACUAGCGGCUUAUCAGCUUGUUGGUGGGGUAGUGGCAUACCCAGGCUUUGACGGAUAGGCGGCCUGUGAGGGUGACCGGCCACAUUGGUACUGAGAUACGCCCCAGACUCCUACGGGAGGCAGCAGUGGGGAGUAUUGCACAAUGGGCGGAAGCCUGAGGCAGCAGCGCCGCGUGCGGGAUGACGGCCUUCGGGUUGUAAACCGCUUUCGCCUGUGACGAAGCGUGAGUGACGGUAAUGAAUAAAGAAGCACCGGCUAACUACGUG
RNAcentral lists this ribosomal RNA (468 nucleotides) under uncultured bacterium. RNAcentral describes it as "partial 16S ribosomal RNA". It matches the Rfam family "Bacterial small subunit ribosomal RNA", at positions 28 to 507 of the family's 1533-position model. The record is from RNAcentral.